Molecule: ribosomal RNA, 329 nt
Filed under: uncultured eukaryote
Lineage: Eukaryota
Description: partial 18S ribosomal RNA
Rfam family: Eukaryotic small subunit ribosomal RNA
Source: RNAcentral
CCCUUAGAUGUUCUGGGCCGCACGCGCGCUACACUGAUGCAUUCAACGAGUCUAAAACCUGCUCUGAUAGGGGUGGGUAAUCUUUUGAAUGUGCAUCGUGAUUGGGAUAGAUGAUUGCAAUUUUUCAUCUUCAACGAGGAAUGCCUAGUAAACGCAAGUCAUCAGCUUGCAUUGAUUACGUCCCUGCCCUUUGUACACACCGCCCGUCGCUCCUACCGAUUGAAUGAUCCGAUGAAUAUCAUGGAUUGAGGAUGCAAGCAGGUUCGCCUGUCUUCAUCUUCGAGAAGUGAAGUAAAUCUUAUCGUUUAGAGGAAGGAGAAGUCGUAACA